UUAGUUGCUUUUCAUUGCAUUGACGGUAGUCUCUUUUUAAAUGUUUCUUCCUUUUUUACAAUCCAUCCUGUAAGUCAAUGAUAUGAAUAUUGGAAACAUCAAUAAUUAUUAAAAAUUUGUGAGCAAUGCUAGUUCCCUUUUUCACUGUGUUAGAGAAUUCAUUUAUCUUAAUGGUGUUGGUAGCAUUCAGAACAAUCUCAAUCAAUAGGCAGAAACUAAUUUCACAGCUCUGAUCCCUGCACAGCCAGAUUGUCUCAGCUGCAGUGACACCUAUCAAAACAGUGUGAGGUCCAAUCCUCAAUCAAAUGCUGUUUCGAUGAAAUCAAGCAGAGCACAACUUCCUCAUGCUGCCACUUCCAAAAAGAGCUACAGGAACAAGGACAUCUCUGAAAAAACCAGCUCUGUUGAUACCAGACUCGAUGUAAAUCACUGAACUUUAUCUCAGCCUUGGCGGUAUUGAAAAAAAACUGCUGUAAUUUCAUGGUUUGAUGUGAAAGUUGAUGACUCCAUUACCUCACUCAUGCUAAGUACGCAUCUUGAUGCUGCAAGGAACUGGACCACAGUAACUACCACAUGCAAAAUGCUCAAAUGCCUAUGAAACAGACUAUCUAAAAGAUAGUGUUACAGACAAAUAGAGACUAAAGUUUGCUUUAUUUUCCUAUAAAAAAUAGCUAAGUGCAAUCCUUGCAAAAUAGGUGAUAAUUCACAGUAUCUCUGCCAUUAUUUCAGCUACAGGACUCAAACACAGUUCAAUUGCUAAGGCUUUAGGUAUGCAAGAGAGCAGAAGUAUUUCCAGAACAUGGAAAAUGCAAAUAACUUCUACAAACAUAAGAUGUUUCAAAUUAAAUUUAACAAAUGUAGCUUCAUCAAGCACUUCCUUCCACUCCCAGAAGAGGACACUAGCUAAAUAUGUGGUGAUGGUCUACAGACUUGUCUCCUGAUUUUCCAAGUUCCCCUUCCCCAUCCAGAGAGCACAGACAGAUCAGCUCACAGAGUAAAGAGGUAAAAAUCGACGAAAUUUCUUCAGUUAAGUUGAUGUUCUGGCUUCCAACAUUAAAGGAGGUUCUUCAUACCUUCAAGGGCAUUGAGAUGGGGAUUCUGAUUUAUUUUAGCAGUGGCAGAGAGAGGCAGUAACAACAAAACAACAUUUAUUUGAAGAAGAAAGACUGAGCAGGAGCCUGCCAUCAGCAGCAAGUUUUUUAUCUCACUGUUCACCCUGGAGGAUCCAGACAGUGACUGAUAAAGCAGAGGCAGCCUGAAGGGGCUGAAGGAGCUUAGAGGAUGGCAGCGUCCACAGUCAGAGGAAGCUCCCCAUUUGGUCAGAGAUUUGGAAGAUAAACAGGGAGAGAAGGGAAGUCAGUCCAUCAGCUCGCUGAGAUGCAGGCAUGGCUCUCCAAUUAACGCUGUGUACACAGGCACAUUAUCCAGGAACAACAAGAACUAUUGUGUGUGUCUCAACCUCGUUAUUGUCUGGCACCUCCACCCUUUCCUCACCAGCAUGGAUGACAUGCCAUUCUUCACAGUGCCACCAUGCUGUGGAUGUUGAUAUAAUGUCCAGGUAGAAGGAAUAUGGACUGGGAGCUUUGCCUCUGAACUGAAAAUCAACCCAGCAAAGCAGUGAGACAGAACAAGAGCUGGCUUGGGUAUUUUCAAAAAGGGUCUUGCUUCUCCCAAGCAAGCAUGUUGUGGUAAACACCUCCCAUAUCCACAGGAAGUAAUUUCUGGUUUUAAUGAUAAAAUUAGUUGGAAAAACUCUUAAACAGACAUCCCUGUGAGCCCAAGGGGCCAGAGAAACACAAUGGACAUCAGAAGAAAGUGAUUCACCUGCCCUUUCCCAUUCCUCUUCUCUUAAAAAAGAACCCCAUUUUUGCAUCACUAUGAUCUCAAAAAUACCUUGUGCAGUUUAUCACAAGGUUCCAAAACUGUGGCCUGUCAUUUACAGUGAUGAUCUCAGGCAAGAUGAUAAUAACCAUGCUCUUAGCACCUUCUCUUGGUGAUGUCAGCAGAAACUUCUCUAGCAAGCAGUUUUAUGAGGAAAUGGUUACCUAGUUUCCAUAACAGUCCUCAAAACCUUUCACUGAAAUAUAAUAAGCAUAAAUGGCAAUCCAUCUGCCAAUACCAAAGAUGUUCCCAAGCUGAUCACAGGGACCAGUAUUUGGAAGUAGAUUGUCUUUUCAGGCUCUACUUCACAAUGACAAGGUUGUGAAGGAAAGGGGCAGUUAUCAGACAUGUACAGAAAAACAGACUGGAAAAAAUCAGUUCUACUUACAGAAGUAAAAUUAGGA
Long non-coding RNA from Passer domesticus (house sparrow), 2285 nucleotides. RefSeq lists it as uncharacterized. NCBI's taxonomy places the organism in Eukaryota, Metazoa, Chordata, Aves, Passeriformes, Passeridae. The transcript is spliced from 4 exons. The record is from RefSeq and is a predicted model, not a curated record.